Molecule: unclassified non-coding RNA, 117 nt
Organism: Papio anubis (olive baboon)
Lineage: Eukaryota; Metazoa; Chordata; Mammalia; Primates; Cercopithecidae
Rfam family: Metazoan signal recognition particle RNA
About the family: The signal recognition particle (SRP) is a universally conserved ribonucleoprotein. It is involved in the co-translational targeting of proteins to membranes. The eukaryotic SRP consists of a 300-nucleotide 7S RNA and six proteins: SRPs 72, 68, 54, 19, 14, and 9.
Source: Ensembl
GCCAGGCGUGGUGGCUCACGCCUGUAAUCCCACCACUUUGGGAGGCUGAGGUGGGUGGAUCACCUGAGGUCAGGAGUUUGAGACCAGCCUGGCCAACAUGGUGAAACCCCAUCUCUA